This 240-nucleotide long non-coding RNA is filed under the name Capsicum annuum. RNAcentral's name for it is "long non-coding RNA (CANN_LNC009631)". The record is from RNAcentral. Lineage: Eukaryota; Viridiplantae; Streptophyta; Magnoliopsida; Solanales; Solanaceae.
UUCAGGUGCAGACUUUCCAGAUAAGUUUAUCAUUCAUGAGCAUUAUUAUGCCCUAGACUCUAGAGUAGAUUGAUUGUAGUUCAGUUUAGAGUUUAGUAAAGUGUUCUCAGACUUAUGGUGAUGACUUGAAGCUAAAGAGGAGAGUAUAGUUGAAAGAGUGCAGAAGAAGUACUUCAGUUAAGUAUAAGUUUCAGCAUGAGUUAGUCAGUAAAUCCAGUAAGUCAGUUUAGCAGUCAGACA